Molecule: ribosomal RNA, 468 nt
Filed under: uncultured bacterium
Lineage: Bacteria
Description: partial 16S ribosomal RNA
Rfam family: Bacterial small subunit ribosomal RNA
Source: RNAcentral
GACGAACGCUGGCGGCGUGCUUAACACAUGCAAGUCGAACGGAAAGGCCCUGCUUUUGUGGGGUGCUCGAGUGGCGAACGGGUGAGUAACACGUGAGUAACCUGCCCUUGACUUUGGGAUAACUUCAGGAAACUGGGGCUCAUACCGGAUAGGAUCUCCUGCUGCAUGGUGGUGGUUGGAAAGUUUCGGCGGUUGGGGAUGGACUCGCGGCUUAUCAGCUUGUUGGUGGGGUAGUGGCUUACCAAGGCUUUGACGGGUAGCCGGCCUGAGAGGGUGACCGGCCACAUUGGGACGGAGAUACGGCCCAGACUCCAACGGGAGGCAGCAGGGGGGAAUAUUGCACAAUGGGCGGAAGCCUGAUGCAGCAACGCCGCGGGCGGGAUGACGGCCUUCGGGUUGUAAACCGCUUUCGCCGGUGACGAAGCGUGAGUGACGGUAAUGGGUAAAGAAGCACCGGCUAACUACGUG